GACGAACGCUGGCGGCGUGCUUAACACAUGCAAGUCGAACGGAAAGGGCCUGCUGUUGUGGGGUGCUCGAGUGGCGAACGGGUGAGUAACACGUGAGUAACCUGCCCUUGACUUUGGGAUAACUUCAGGAAACUGGGGCUAAUACCGGAUAGGAGCUCCUGCGGCAUGGUGGGGGUUGGAAAGUUGGGGCGGUUGGGGAUGGACUCGCGGCUUAUCAGCUUGUUGGAGGGGUAGUGGCUUACCACGGCUUGGACGGGUCGCCGGCCCGAGAGGGUGACCGGCCACAUUGGUACUGAGAUACGGCCCAGACUCGUACGGGAGACAGCAGUGGCGAAUAUUGCACAAUGGGCGGAAGCCUGAUGCGGCAACGCUGCGGGCGGGAUGUCGGCCUUCGCGGUGUAAACCGCCUUCGCUUGUGACGAAGCGUGAAUGACGGUAACGGGUAAAGAAGCACCGGCUAACUACGUG
Molecule: ribosomal RNA, 468 nt
Filed under: uncultured bacterium
Lineage: Bacteria
Description: partial 16S ribosomal RNA
Rfam family: Bacterial small subunit ribosomal RNA
Source: RNAcentral